This 698-nucleotide ribosomal RNA is filed under the name uncultured bacterium. Its description in RNAcentral is "bacterial SSU rRNA". It matches the Rfam family "Bacterial small subunit ribosomal RNA", at positions 129 to 843 of the family's 1533-position model. The record is from RNAcentral.
CCUCACACAGGGGGAUAACAGUUAGAAAUGACUGCUAAUACCGCAUAAGCGCACGGUACCGCAUGGUACAGUGUGAAAAACUCCGGUGGUGUGAGAUGGAUCCGCGUCUGAUUAGGUAGUUGGUGAGGUAACGGCCCACCAAGCCGACGAUCAGUAGCCGACCUGAGAGGGUGACCGGCCACAUUGGGACUGAGACACGGCCCAAACUCCUACGGGAGGCAGCAGUGGGGAAUAUUGCACAAUGGGCGAAAGCCUGAUGCAGCAACGCCGCGUGAGUGAAGAAGUAUCUCGGUAUGUAAAGCUCUAUCAGCAGGGAAGAAAAUGACGGUACCUGACUAAGAAGCCCCGGCUAACUACGUGCCAGCAGCCGCGGUAAUACGUAGGGGGCAAGCGUUAUCCGGAUUUACUGGGUGUAAAGGGAGCGCAGACGGCACUGCAAGUCUGAAGUGAAAGCCCGGGGCUCAACCCCGGGACUGCUUUGGAAACUGUAGAGCUAGAGUGCUGGAGAGGCAAGCGGAAUUCCUAGUGUAGCGGUGAAAUGCGUAGAUAUUAGGAAGAACACCAGUGGCGAAGGCGGCUUGCUGGACAGUAACUGACGUUCAGGCUCGAAAGCGUGGGGAGCAAACAGGAUUAGAUACCCUGGUAGUCCACGCCGUAAACGAAGAAUACUAGGUGUUGGUGGGCAAAGCCCAUUUCGG